RNAcentral lists this ribosomal RNA (497 nucleotides) under uncultured bacterium. RNAcentral's name for it is "partial 16S ribosomal RNA". It matches the Rfam family "Bacterial small subunit ribosomal RNA", at positions 28 to 507 of the family's 1533-position model. The record is from RNAcentral.
GAUGAACGCUGGCGGCGUGCCUAAUACAUGCAAGUCGAGCGAACAGACGAGGAGCUUGCUCCUCUGCCGUUAGCGGCGGACGGGUGAGUAACACGUGGAUAACCUACCUAUAAGACUGGGAUAACUUCGGGAAACCGGAGCUAAUACCGGAUCAUAUAUUGAACCGCAUGGUUCAAUAGUGAAAGACGGUUUUGCUGUCACUUAUAGAUGGUUCCGCGCCGCAUUAGCUAGUUGGUAAGGUAACGGCUUACCAAGGCAACGAUGCGUAGCUGACCUGAGAGGGUGAUCGGCCACACUGGAACUGAGACACGGUCCAGACUCCUACGGGAGGCAGCAGUAGGGAAUCUUCCGCAAUGGGCGAAAGCCUGACGGAGCAACGCCGCGUGAGUGAUGAAGGUCUUCGGAUCGUAAAACUCUGUUAUUAGGGAAGAACAAAUGUGUAAGUAACUAUGCACGUCUUGACGGUACCUAAUCAGAAAGCCACGGCUAACUACGUG